This 263-nucleotide ribosomal RNA is filed under the name uncultured bacterium. Its description in RNAcentral is "partial 16S ribosomal RNA". It matches the Rfam family "Bacterial small subunit ribosomal RNA", at positions 524 to 786 of the family's 1533-position model. The record is from RNAcentral.
UACGUAAGGAGCGAGCGUUGUCCGGAUUUACUGGGCGUAAAGGGCUCGUAGGUGGUUUCUUAGGUCUCACGUGAAAUUCCCUGGCUCAACCAGGGAGGGUCGUGGGAAACCGAGAGGCUAGAGGGCAGGAGAGGAGAGUGGAAUUCCCGGUGUAGCGGUGAAAUGCGUAGAGAUCGGGAGGAACACCAGUGGUGAAGACGGCUCUCUGGACUGUCCCUGACACUGAGGAGCGAAAGCCAGGGGAGCAAACCGGAUUAGAUACC